RNAcentral lists this ribosomal RNA (200 nucleotides) under uncultured bacterium. RNAcentral describes it as "partial 16S ribosomal RNA". It matches the Rfam family "Bacterial small subunit ribosomal RNA", at positions 8 to 206 of the family's 1533-position model. The record is from RNAcentral.
AGAGUUUGAUCAUGGCUCAGGACGAACGCUGGCGGCGUGCUUAACACAUGCAAGUGGAGCGACGAACCAGGCUUCGGCCUGGGGCAGAGCCGCGAACGGGUGAGUAACACGUGGGUAACGUGCCCCGAUGACUGGGACAACCCGAGGAAACUCGGGCUAAUACCGGAUGUGCCCUCCGGCCACAAGGCCGCUGGGGAAAG